This 253-nucleotide ribosomal RNA is filed under the name uncultured bacterium. RNAcentral's name for it is "partial 16S ribosomal RNA". It matches the Rfam family "Bacterial small subunit ribosomal RNA", at positions 524 to 776 of the family's 1533-position model. The record is from RNAcentral.
UCCGGAGGGGGCAAUCGUUAUUCGGAAUUACUGGGCGUAAAGCGCACGUAGGCGGCAAUCCAAGUCAAAGGUGAAAGCCCUCGGCUCAACCGAGGAACUGCCUUUGAAACUGCAUUGCUUGAGUCCGGGAGGGGGGAGCGGAAUUCCCAGUGUAGCGGUGAAAUGCGUAGAUACUGGGAGGAACACCGGUGGCGAAGGCGGCUCCCUGGACCGGUACUGACGCUGAGGUGCGAAAGCGUGGGUAGAAAACAGG